RNAcentral lists this ribosomal RNA (253 nucleotides) under uncultured bacterium. RNAcentral's name for it is "partial 16S ribosomal RNA". It matches the Rfam family "Bacterial small subunit ribosomal RNA", at positions 524 to 776 of the family's 1533-position model. The record is from RNAcentral.
CACGUAGGCACCAAGCGUUGUCCGGAAUCAUUGGGCGUAAAGAGCGUGUAGGCGGCCCGAUAAGUCCGCUGUGAAAGUCCAGGGCUCAACCCUGGAAUGCCGGUGGAUACUGUCGGGCUCGAAUCCGGAAGAGGUGAGUGGAAUUCCUGGUGUAGCGGUGAAAUGCGCAGAUAUCAGGAGGAACACCAAUGGCGAAGGCAGCUCACUGGGACGGUAUUGACGCUGAGACGCGAAAGCGUGGGGAGCAAACAGG